AGACAAGCUAUGAAGGGCACAUGGUGGAUGCCUUGGCAUCAAGAGCCGAUGAAGGACGUAGGAGCCUGCGAUAAGCCCUGGGGAGUUGGCAACCAAGCUGUGAUCCGGGGGUGUCCGAAUGGGGAAACCCAGCUGGAGUCAUGUCCAGUUACCCGCACCUGAAUAUAUAGGGUGUGUGGAGGGAACGUGGGGAAGUGAAACAUCUCAGUACCCACAGGAAGAGAAAACAAUAGUGAUUCCGAGAGUAGUGGCGAGCGAAAUCGGAUGAGGCCAAACCACGUACAUGUGAUACCCGGCAGGGGUUGUGUAUGUGGGGUUGUGGGAUCGCAUGGGUGGGUCUGCCGGCCUACCACACAGUAAGAAACCCAGGUUGAAGUUGAAGUCCGCUGGAAAGUGGCGCCGUAGAGGGUGAUAGCCCCGUAAGUGUAAGGCCUGGGCUGUGAUGCGUUAUCCCAAGUAACACGGAACCCCUGAAAUUCCGUGUGAAUCUGGCGGGACCACCCGUUAAGCCUAAAUACUCCUUGAUGACCGAUAGCGGACAAGUACCGUGAGGGAAAGGUGAAAAGUACCCCUGGCGGGGAGUGAAAUAGUACCUGAAACCGUGUGCCUACAAUCCGUCGGAGCCUUACUCAUCCUUGUGGUGAUGGGGUGACGGCGUGCCUUUUGAAGAAUGAGCCUGCGAGUUUGCGUUGUGUUGCGAGGUUAACCCGUGUGGGGAAGCCGUAGCGAAAGCGAGUCCGAAUAGGGCGUCUGAGUAGCACGAUCAAGACCCGAAGCGAAGUGAUCUAUCCAUGGGCAGGUUGAAGCGCGGGUAAGACCGCGUGGAGGACCGAACCCACUUAGGUUGAAAACUGAGGGGAUGACCUGUGGAUAGGGGUGAAAGGCCAAUCAAACUUCGUGAUAGCUGGUUCUCCCCGAAAUGCAUUUAGGUGCAGCGUUGCGUGUUUCUUGCCGGAGGUAGAGCACUGGAUAGCCGAUGGGCCCGACCAGGUUACUGACGUUAACCAAACUCCGAAUGCCGGUAAGUGAGAGCGCAGCAGUGAGACUGCGGGGGAUAAGCUCCGUAGUCGAGAGGGAAACAGCCCAGACCAUCAGCUAAGGCCCCUAAGCGGUGACUAAGUGGAAAAGGAUGUGGAGUCGCACUGACAACCAGGAGGUUGGCUUGGAAGCAGCCACCCUUGAAAGAGUGCGUAAUAGCUCACUGGUCAAGUGAUUCCGCGCCGACAAUGUAGCGGGGCUCAAGUCAUCCGCCGAAGCUAUGGCAUUCACAUAAGCCCAGCACCCACUUGAUGGGUGUUCAGGUGUGUGGAUGGGUAGGGGAGCGUCGUGUCGCGAGUGAAGCGCCGGAGUGAUCCAGGUGUGGAUGCGACACGAGUGAGAAUGCAGGCAUGAGUAGCGAAUCACGUGUGAGAAACACGUGCGCCGAAUGAUCAAGGGUUCCAGGGUCAAGCUAAUCUGCCCUGGGUAAGUCGGGACCUAAGGCGAGGCCGACAGGCGUAGUCGAUGGACAACGGGUUGAUAUUCCCGUACCGGCAAAGUAGCGCCCAUGACGAACCCGGUGAUGCUAACCAUCUGAAACUCAGCCGACCGGACCCUUCGGGGCGAGGCGGUUGAGCGUAGCGUGGGACCCGAACUGGUAGUAGUCAAGCGAUGGGGUGACGCAGGAAGGUAGUCCAACCGUACCGAUGGUUGUGUACGGCUAAGCAUGUAGGGCGAGAUCUAGGCAAAUCCGGAUCUCUGACUUCGAUGUCGGGCUUGAGAUGUGAUGGGGACCCCGUUGGGGGGAAGUGGAUGAUCCUAUGCUGUCGAGAAAAACCUCUAGCGAGCUAUGCGCCGCCCGUACCCCAAACCGACUCAGGUGAUCAGGUAGAGAAUACUAAGGCGAUCGAGCGAACCACGGUUAAGGAACUCGGCAAAAUGCCCCCGUAACUUCGGGAGAAGGGGGGCCCGGAACGUGAACACCCUUGCGGUGGGAGCGGGAAGGGCCGCAGAGACCAGGCCCAAGCGACUGUUUACUAAAAACACAGGUCCGUGCGAAGUUGUAAGACGAUGUAUACGGACUGACUCCUGCCCGGUGCUGGAAGGUUAAGAGGACCUGUUAGGUAGCAAUACCGAAGCGGAGAAUUUAAGCCCCAGUAAACGGCGGUGGUAACUAUAACCAUCCUAAGGUAGCGAAAUUCCUUGUCGGGUAAGUUCCGACCUGCACGAAUGGAGUAACGACUUGGGCGCUGUCUCAACCGUGGACUCGGCGAAAUUGCACUACGAGUAAAGAUGCUCGUUACGCGCGGCAGGACGGAAAGACCCCGGGACCUUUACUAUAGUUUGGUAUUGGUGUUUGGUUCGGCUUGUGUAGGAUAGGUGGGAGACUGUGAAGCAUUCACGCCAGUGAGUGUGGAGUCAUCGUUGAAAUACCACUCUGGUCGUACUAGAUGUCUAACCUAGGUCCGUUAUCCGGAUCAGGGACAGUGCCUGAUGGGUAGUUUAACUGGGGCGGUUGCCUCCUAAAGAGUAACGGAGGCGCUCAAAGGUUCCCUCAGCCUGGUUGGCAAUCAGGUGGCGAGUGUAAGUGCACAAGGGAGCUUGACUGUGAGACAGACAUGUCGAGCAGGGACGAAAGUCGGAACUAGUGAUCCGGCGUCGGCAUGUGGAAGCGACGUCGCUCAACGGAUAAAAGGUACCCCGGGGAUAACAGGCUGAUCUUCCCCAAGAGUCCAUAUCGACGGGAUGGUUUGGCACCUCGAUGUCGGCUCGUCGCAUCCUGGGGCUGGAGUAGGUCCCAAGGGUUGGGCUGUUCGCCCAUUAAAGCGGCACGCGAGCUGGGUUUAGAACGUCGUGAGACAGUUCGGUCCCUAUCCGCCGCGCGCGCAGGAAACUUGAGAAAGGCUGUCCCUAGUACGAGAGGACCGGGAUGGACGAACCUCUGGUGUGCCAGUUGUCCCGCCAGGGGCACGGCUGGUUAGCUACGUUCGGAAGUGAUAACCGCUGAAUGCAUCUAAGCGGGAAGCACGUUUCAAGAUGAGGUUUCCCACCGGGUCAACCGGGUAAGGCCCCCAGCAGAACACUGGGUUGAUAGGCCGGAGGUGUACAGCAGCAAUGCCUAGCCGACCGGUACUAAUAGGCCGAGGGCUUGUCCCA
RNAcentral lists this ribosomal RNA (3135 nucleotides) under Nocardioides marinisabuli. RNAcentral describes it as "23S ribosomal RNA". It matches the Rfam family "Bacterial large subunit ribosomal RNA". Lineage: Bacteria; Bacillati; Actinomycetota; Actinomycetes; Propionibacteriales; Nocardioidaceae. The record is from RNAcentral.